Molecule: non-coding RNA, 786 nt
Organism: Oryzias latipes (Japanese medaka)
Lineage: Eukaryota; Metazoa; Chordata; Actinopteri; Beloniformes; Adrianichthyidae
Source: RefSeq, a predicted model, not a curated record
UAAAUCCGCAAGGUGGAGUUUGUAAACUGCAAACGCGGAUUCAAAGUUAACCCAAAUAUAAAUAUGUGUGAUUUAAAAAAAAUUGAAGACAAAAAUAAUGAUAGUGUAACGGGAGUCACCUGUAGGUGUCUCUAUACCCAUUGUUCAGGGGGUUUAAAAAGGAAGUUGACGUGUGGUUGCUAUGGCGCUAGCUUCCUGUGAGAAAGCCGGUUAGCUCAGAGAGCAGCGUGAGUUGGCUCGAGCAAAGAGUGCGGAUCACGGCAGAGGUAGAUCCUGCUUUUCUGGGAGUUUUAAAGACUGGGCGUGAGGUUUUGCGACGCACCAGGUAUUUUACACUUUUAUCACAGCAGAGGUAUAUUUUAAACAAAUGGUAAAUUAUUUUUUAUCAAAUGUUUUUAAUAUGGUGCUUCUUCUGUUUUUAGUGUUGGAAUACUGUGCCCUGCUGUCCUGUUUAAGUUUAUGUUUUGUACUUGGUUUGUCCGCUCCUGACGGAGCUGUCCCAGCGUGAUUGACUAAUCAAGUGCAGGAGCGGACCAUUUACCCUCUGUUCUGUUUGUCAUUUUUUUUAGUCACUUCCCUCAGGUUUCACCCCGCAUGUUAUUUUGGUGGGUGCCGUAUCCCACCGAGUGCUGUGUAUCACAGUUACGUUGCAUGUUUUUAUUUUUUAUUGUUGUGCAUGAACUGUGGUUUUUUUUGUCUGCAUGCUCCUGUGGUGUCAUUGAUACGGUCAACAUUUUUAUUCUACUCAUGACGGGGUUUUUGUAUUAAUAAAUCUUCGUAACCUGC